UUUUGAGUUAAAACAUCCCCUUAUCCCUGGGUGCAUCAUUCCUGACAUGUAGCAUUGUUAAUGAGAGUGUGAAUACCUUCAGACUUGUCACGCGACCUCUGAAAGUUGAUGGAGGUCAUUAGAGCACUGGUGAGCCAUCUUUAUUUCUGUGAAGACAUGGAAUUCCACGAAGACAGAACCCAGACAUUAAAUGCUAUGUUCCUCCUUUUCUACUCUUUUGCAGGCUGUCUAUUUUGCUUUUGUUGCUUGUGCUUUUGGUGUCAUAUCCAGGAAACUGUUGCCAAGGC
RNAcentral lists this long non-coding RNA (287 nucleotides) under Equus caballus (horse). RNAcentral's name for it is "lncRNA (ENSECAG00000053053.1)". Lineage: Eukaryota; Metazoa; Chordata; Mammalia; Perissodactyla; Equidae. The record is from RNAcentral.